CCUACGGGUGGCAGCAGUGAGGAAUAUUGGUCAAUGGGCGCGAGCCUGAACCAGCCAAGUCGCGUGCAGGACGACGGCCCUAUGAGUUGUAAACCUCUUUUGUACGGGGGUAAAUCCCGGCACGUGUAUCGUCCUGAGAGUAUCGUACGAAUAAGCAUCGGCUAACUCCGUGCCAGCAGCCGCGGUAAUACGGAGGAUUCAAGCGUUAUCCGGAUUUAUUGGGUUUAAAGGGUGCGUAGGCGGUGAGCUAAGUUAGCGGUGAAAUCCCGGGGCUCAACUCCGGCUCUGCCUCUGAUACUGUCGGGCUAGAGUGUAGUAGCGGUAGGCGGAAUGUAUGGUGUAGCGGUGAAAUGCAUAGAGAUCACACAGAACACCGAUUGCGAAGGCAGCGUACCAAAGUACGACUGACGUUGAGGCACGAAAGCGUGGGGAGCGAACAGGAUUAGAUACCCUAGUAGUC
RNAcentral lists this ribosomal RNA (460 nucleotides) under uncultured bacterium. RNAcentral's name for it is "partial 16S ribosomal RNA". It matches the Rfam family "Bacterial small subunit ribosomal RNA", at positions 338 to 795 of the family's 1533-position model. The record is from RNAcentral.